AGUAAAUAGCUAAAAAAUAAAGUUUAUUAUUUACGUUAAUAAGAUACCUUAAGGGUUUUACUUUU
This 65-nucleotide transfer RNA is filed under the name Heteropsylla cubana. Its description in RNAcentral is "tRNA-Val". The record is from RNAcentral. Lineage: Eukaryota; Metazoa; Arthropoda; Insecta; Hemiptera; Psyllidae.